UUUAAAGGGUAUUAUCGUAUUCUUUCCUCAGCGGAAGGGUUCCGAAGGUUAUAAACAUUUGUUAGCUAAAGCAAAAAUGGUUUAUCCCUAAAAAGUAGUCCCUACAGUGUAAAAGAAGAUUAAAUCCUAUAAAGAGAGAUGUUGGCCUUUUGCUAAUAACUCUCGAUUCUUAAGAUUACAGGAAUAGGCUGCAAGAUGUGUGUAGUUAAUGCCUGGGGCUGACAUUUGCGGAAGGAUAUUGUGAACGCAUUUUGUAUGCGUACGAAGAAGUAAACAAAUGAAGAAUAAAAAGUGCCGCCUUAAAGGGGCAGUGUGACUGCAUUAGCGCAGCAACCUCGGACUAGGCCUCGGAGGAUGAGAAGGCAGGUUCGAGUCCCGGGUGACUUACAUCCUCUGGCCUUGGGACCGCUGGACGAAAGUGGCCGAGCCCCAGCCCAGGCCUACUUUUUCAGGGCCGCGGACGCCCGAGGACCAGUGCAAAACGGCCAUUAAACUACUCUGAGCCAAAAUGACAAAUGAAGAAAAUCCUGGCAAAGACCUUGUGAACCAAGCUGCUCAGGAGUUGGGAAUUGCGGACAGGAUUCGUGGGGGACAUGUCUUCUUGGCUCCCUCAGAAGGAUGAAGGGUUUUCAGGCCCAGUAGCACGAAGAAGGGCAUUCUGUAAAGAACAAACACGGUGUCCAAAGAAAGGACUCAUCCAGAACUCAGGAGUGGUUUCAUGGGGAAGUGGUGAUGCGUAUGCCCCAAUGGAGAAGCAAGCAAGAAUGCCAACUGUUUUGAAAUUGACCACUCCAGUUUCUGGGCUUCCAAGAACUCCCUGCAUCUGGAAAACGCUGCUGUUCUUUGUCCUCCUUCAUCAGUCAGUCCUGUGAGCAAGAGCUGCCCCUCACACUGAGAGCUCCCUGAGGAAAAGAGGUUUUGCAGAGAACUUGAAUGGGAGUCAGAGAUCUCUUUAACUCCUAGAGGACUCCUGGGUACCCUCAUUCAGGGGGAUUGAGAGGUACAGCUGAGCCCAGCCACCCUCAGUUUACUGGAGAGGGCUCAUCUGUCACAUGUGGGGAAUGGUGGGCAGAGUGAUAGGUUGUGGAAUUCUAGAAUUCCGUCAAACAAGAGGCCAGGCACCUUGAUAAUAGCUGAGUUUUAACCCAUUGCCAAGCAUUUUACAUGAUAUGGGCACGCCUGGGUGGCUCAGUCAGUUGUGUCUGCCUUCUAGUCAGGUCAUGAUCCCAAGGAUCCUGGGACUGAGUCCUGCAUGGGGCUCCCUGCUUGGGGAGCCUGUUUUUCCGUUUGCCUGCUGCUCUCCCUGCUUGUGCUCUCUCUGACAAAUAAAAUAUUAAAACAAAAAACCCA
Mustela lutreola (European mink) is the source of this 1350-nucleotide long non-coding RNA. RefSeq lists it as uncharacterized. The transcript is spliced from 2 exons. The record is from RefSeq and is a predicted model, not a curated record. NCBI's taxonomy places the organism in Eukaryota, Metazoa, Chordata, Mammalia, Carnivora, Mustelidae.